Molecule: ribosomal RNA, 481 nt
Filed under: uncultured bacterium
Lineage: Bacteria
Description: partial 16S ribosomal RNA
Rfam family: Bacterial small subunit ribosomal RNA
Source: RNAcentral
GACGAACGCUGGCGGCGUGCUUAACACAUGCAAGUCGAACGCUGAAGCCCUUCGGGGUGGAUGAGUGGCGAACGGGUGAGUAACACGUGGGUAGUCUGCCCUGCACUCUGGGAUAAGCCUUGGAAACGGGGCCUAAUACCGGAUAGGACACAUCGCCGCAUGGUGUGUGUGUGGAAAGUUCCGGCGGUGCAGGUUGAGCCCGCGGCCUAUCAGCUUGUUGGUGGGGUGAUGGCCUACCAAGGCGUCGACGGGUAGCCGGCCUGAGAGGGUGACCGGCCACACUGGGACUGAGACACGGCCCAGACUCCUACGGGAGGCAGCAGUGGGGAAUCUUGCGCAAUGGGCGAAAGCCUGACGCAGCAACGCCGCGUGGGGGAUGACGGCCUCCGGGUUGUAAACCUCUUUCGACCGGGACGAAGGAUUCGUUUGACGGUACCGGUAGAAGAAGCACCGGCUAACUACGUGCCAGCCGCCGCAGUAA